GUGGGCUCAGAGCAGGCACAGC
RNAcentral lists this microRNA (22 nucleotides) under Gallus gallus (chicken). RNAcentral's name for it is "Gga-Mir-1669_3p (mature (guide))". Lineage: Eukaryota; Metazoa; Chordata; Aves; Galliformes; Phasianidae. The record is from RNAcentral.